Molecule: ribosomal RNA, 1092 nt
Filed under: Halobellus clavatus
Lineage: Archaea; Methanobacteriati; Methanobacteriota; Halobacteria; Halobacteriales; Haloferacaceae
Description: Archaeal large subunit ribosomal RNA
Rfam family: Archaeal large subunit ribosomal RNA
Source: Rfam by way of RNAcentral
UGAUCGGGGCUCAAAUCUACCACCGAGACCUGGCAAUGCCUGUCAGAAGGCAACUUAGUAGGCUUGGCGUACUGAUCGGGCGGAAGCACGGGCGAGAGCUCGCGUGGACCGUUCAGUAACGAAAAUCCUGGUCACAGUAGCAGCGAGAGUCGGGUGUGAACCCCGACGGCCUGACGAGCAAGGGUUCCUCGGCACUGCCAAUCAGCCGAGGGUUAGCCGGCCCUAAGUCUCACCGUAACUCGACUGAGACAAACGGGAAACUGGUUAAUAUUCCAGUGCCGCCGUGCAAUUCGCCGACGCUUUUGGAAACAGCGAGCGGGGCCUUCGCCCCGUCGAAUCGUAGAAGAUCGUGGACGCCGUAACGGCAGGAAGCGAUCGAAUUACGAGACAGCGCAAGUCGCUGGUACCGAGAGCCCGUGAAAAGGCGCACGGUGACCGUACCAAGAUCCGACACAGGUGCUCAGGCAGCGAAAGCCAAGGCCCGUCGGGAGCAACCGGCGUUAGGGAAUUCGGCAAGUUAGUCCCGUACCUUCGGAAGAAGGGAUGCCUGCUUUUCACCGAGCAGGUCGCAGUGACUCGGACGCUCCGACUGUGUAGUAACAACAUAGGUGACCGCAAAUCCGCAAGGACUCGUACGGUCACUGAAUCCUGCCCAGUGCAGGUAUCUGAACACCUCGUACAAGAGGACGAAGGACCUGUCAACGGCGGGGGUAACUAUGACCCUCUUAAGGUAGCGUAGUACCUUGCCGCUUCAGUAGCGGCUUGCAUGAAUGGAUCAACGAGAGCGUCACUGUCCCAACGCUGGGCCCGGUGAACUGUACGUUCCAGUGCGGAGUCUGGAGACCCCCAAGGGGAAGCGAAGACCCUAUAGAGCUUUACUGCAGGCUGUCGCUGGGACGUGGUCGCUAACGUGCAGGAUAGGUAGGAGUCAUUACAGAGGUACCCGCGCUAGCGGGCCACCCAGACACUCCUGAAAUACUACCCGUUAGUGACUGCGACCCUCACUCCUGGCGGAGGACACCGGUAGCCGGGCAGUUUGACUGGGGCGGUACGCGCUCGAAAAGAUAUCGAGCGCGCCCAAAGAUUUCCUCA